CGGGUAAGGGAAAUCAAACAGAAUAGAAAUGCUCGUGGUGACCAAAGAAGCCUUUAGCAGAUGGAUCAUCGUGCCGGAGCCCUUAGCUGGAAGGCCGCCGGCGACAAAUAAAAUCACCCAUAAAAUACUAGCCGUUGUGAGAAUGAUAACGGCAAAGAAAAUUCAAAUGGGAGCGUGAAAAAGCAUUUGAAAUCAAGAUAAAUAUAAACAAUUCAGUUACAUUCCGUUACAGACAUUCUUUCUUUCUCUGAUUGCCCCUUUCUCUCGAUGUUCUGUUUUCUGAUUGUCCCUUUCUGUCAUUGUCCUGUUCUUUCUCUCUGUUUUCUUCAAAUUUCUGUGUGUUUGCUUUGUUUUCAUUUUUAAUUUUUCUGGUUUUCAGCGUGCACGCUGGUCUGUCUGUCUUUUUUUUGGUGUUACAUUUUUCUGGCAGAGCAGGGGAAAGGCAGAGCAGAGGAAGAGACAGAGCAACCGAGGGCAAAUUCUUCUUCCAGGCAUGAGAUGCAGAACCCAGCAACAGUUCAUAUAACUGAUGCAGAGAGGAAGAAAUGGGAAGUUCCUUAUGACCUGCUUUGUUUAUAACAAGUAGCUGCUCUAGAAGGAAACCAUAUUUUCAAAAAAGGCUAACCCAGUGUUUGAAUUCUCUGUGUUCUCAGGCAAUGAGUUGUUCUUCUCCUACCCAGCUAACCCAUUUGGAUAUGCUAUCAAGCACAGAUCCCACGGAGAGGUUCUGUUCAACUCCUCAUAUGGUAGCUUGGUUUUCAGUAUCUGAUACGAAAUUGUUGGGGAAAUGGCAGUGCUAUCUGUACCAUGACUGUAAUCCUGUGGUUGUGCAUGGAGAUGUGCACCAAUGUACUAAUGGACAUCCACACUGAAGCUCGGAUAUCUGUUUUGGAUAGUCGGACUCAUGCAGAGGGAAGCCACCAUGUGCUCUAGCGCUUACAUUGCACCAGGUUCGUCUCGACUAGAUGUAGUUCAGCAGUUCACUGACCUCAUAGGACAUACAACUGCAAUGCCCUAUUGGGCUUCUGGGAAAAACUGUGGGGAUUAUUGAAGCUGAAUUUGAAGUGCUUGAUGAGGUUGACAUGAAUGAUUAAAAAUGGGACCCGGUUUGUCCCCACUAUAUGUAGUUCAGCAUUUCACUGGCCUCAUAGGAAAUACAGUUGCAAUGCCCUAUUGGGCUUCUGGCAUGACAUGCAGGACCCAGCAAGAGUUCAUAUAACCCAUGUAGAGAAGAAGAGAUGGGAAGUUCAUUAUGACUUGCUUCCUAUAUAACUGUAGCUGCUCUAGAAGCAAGCCAUGUUUCCAAAACAGCUCACCCAGUGUUUGAAUUCUGUGUGUUCUCAGGCAAUGAGUUGAUCUUCUCAUACACAGCUAAUCCACUUGGAAUUGCUAUCAAGCACAAAUCCCACGGAGAGUUUCAUCUCCAUUAGAUGCAGUUCAGUAGUUCACUGAUCUCAUACGACAUACAACUGCAAUGCCCUAUUGGGCUUUUUGCAUGAGACACAGAACCCAGCAAGAGUUCAUAUAACCGAUGCAAGGAAGAAGAGAUGGGAAGUUCUUUAUGACCUGCUUCCUAGAUCACUCGUAGCUGCUCUAGCGCAAGCCAUAUUUUCAAAACAGUUAACCCAGUGUUUGAAUUCUCUGUGUUGUCAAGCAAUGAGUUGAUCUUCUUCUGCACAACUAAUCCAUUUGGAAUCGCUAUCGAGCACAAAUCCCAUGGAGAGGUUCAUAUCCAUAGAUGCAGUUCAGCAGUUCACUGACCUCAUAGGACAUACAGCUGCAAUGCCCUAUUGGGCUUCUGGCAAUGAGUUGAUCUUCUCCUACACAGCUUGCUAUCAAGCACAAGUCCCAUGGAGAGGGGAUCGAUGUUUUAUAUACUGGCUGUAAGCUGACAUACAAGGUUAUAUUGGGGGUUCACUGGACUUCUUCUUUGCAAGUUCGUCUCCAUUAGAUGCAGUUCAGCAGUUCACUGAUCUCAUAGGACAUACAGUUGCAAUGCCCUAUUGGGCUUCUGGCGUGAGAAGCAGGACCCAGUAAGAGUUCAUAUAACCAGUGCACAGAAGAAGAGAUGGGAAUUUCUUUAUGACCUGCUUCCUAGAUCACUAUUAGUUGCUCUAGAAGGAAGCCAUAUUUCCAAAACAGCUAAACCAGUAUUUGAAUUCUCUGUGUUCUCAGGCAUUGAGUUGAUCUUCUCCUGCACAGUAAUCCAUUUGGAAUUUUCUAUCGAGCACAAGUCCCAUGGAGAGGUUUGUCUCCAUUAAAUGCAGUUACAGCUGCAAUGCCCUAUUGGGCUUUUGGUUCGUCUCCAUUAGAUGCAGUUCAGUAGUUCACUAAUCUCAUAGGACAUACAUCUACAUUGCUCUAUUGGGCUUCUGGUUCUUCUCCAUUAGAUGCAGUUCAGUAGUUCACUAACCUCAUAGGACAUACAUCUGCAAUGCCCUAUUGGGCUUCUGGUAGGUUGAAGGCCACUCUUUCAAGAAUGGUUGUCUGACAGUUUGAUAAAGAGGAGAUCCAAAGAGAGUUUAACAGUUUUUGAACUAGUUAUUUUUUCACAGUUUGGUGGGAGAAAUUGCAAGAGUGACAUUUUUGUUGUGUAUUUAGAGAAGCAAGGGAUAGAGUUGGGUAUUGACCAUUUCCUUAAUAAUAUUUUGGUCAAUGCAAUUGACCAAACAACAUUGUAAUAUGUACAAAUAUACUGUUUAAUAUUAAAAAAAUUAUUAGAAGGGACUAAAAAGCCCCUUCUAAGGAUCAAAAAGCCCCUUCUAAGGACCAAAGGGAAUAUCCAAUGGCGACAACUUAAACAAUAGGCGAUAGACCUAGGCCAUUCU
Cryptomeria japonica (Japanese cedar) is the source of this 2828-nucleotide long non-coding RNA. RefSeq lists it as uncharacterized. The record is from RefSeq and is a predicted model, not a curated record. The transcript is spliced from 17 exons. NCBI's taxonomy places the organism in Eukaryota, Viridiplantae, Streptophyta, Pinopsida, Cupressales, Cupressaceae.